Molecule: long non-coding RNA, 810 nt
Filed under: Anas platyrhynchos platyrhynchos (common mallard)
Lineage: Eukaryota; Metazoa; Chordata; Aves; Anseriformes; Anatidae
Description: lncRNA (ENSAPLG00000017173.1)
Source: RNAcentral
AAUUAAUCUACAUGAGGUGUCCUCUACUCACAAACAUAGCUUUUGAUUAUUUACAUAGUGACAAGGGAGAUAAUUACAAGAUGAAAUACAUGUGUUAACUGGUACAAUUUUGUUUUCUUACACAGAAGGAAUAUGCUCAGCAAACUAUGACAAAUUAGCAUUGUAGCAAUAGGGACGUUUGCAGUAAAGCUAAAAAUGAGCCGUUAACUCCAAACUAACAACCUUUAAGAUUCACCAUUGUUAAUCUCAGAAGUUGCUUGUAGUGCACAUCUGGAUGAAGCCACGUUUGGCUGGGAGGGGAAGGUGGGUUUUAGGCAUACAACUGUGGCUGUGUUGUGUCAAUAAAGGACAAUAUUGUUUGCUAUUGAUGGACUUUGAGUUCCCUCCCGCCUGUGCUUAGCACCAGCAGUGAACAGCUAGUGGCAGCUGUUGAAGUUGCUAGGUUCACUGCUCCCGUUACUGUUCUCAAGGACAAAGCACACACAGCUGAGCUGGAAGAUGGCUGUGUUAUAGCUGGACACCACCUGAAACUAAUAAAUGAAGGAGGGAAAGGGGAGAAGUGUCGGAUGCAUGUGGGAUCGUUCCACCAAUCACGCAUGUCAGUUGAGUGAUGCAGGAGUACAUUAUGAGGUUCUCUCAGACCUGGUACCUGGACUAUAAAGGGAAGAAAAUCUUCUGUUCUGGUAAGGUCAGUAUAAAGGUUGUAGAGCUGCAGAGUGAUGAGUGUGAAAUAAUGCUAGUAGUAAAUCUUUCCAUUCUUCUGCCCUACUCUAUCCCCCUCCUCCUUUGGAGUGUGUUAUAGUUAGUAAG